This 274-nucleotide ribosomal RNA is filed under the name uncultured bacterium. Its description in RNAcentral is "partial 16S ribosomal RNA". It matches the Rfam family "Bacterial small subunit ribosomal RNA", at positions 523 to 796 of the family's 1533-position model. The record is from RNAcentral.
AUACGGAGGGUGCAAGCGUUACUCGGAAUCACUGGGCGUAAAGCGCGCGCAGGCGGCUAUUUAAGUUGGGUGUGAAAGCCUAUGGCUCAACCAUAGAACUGCAUCCAAAACUAUUUAGCUAGAGUGUGGGAGAGGAAGAUGGAAUUAGUUGUGUAGGGGUAAAAUCCGUAGAGAUAACUAGGAAUACCAAAAGCGAAGGCAAUCUUCUGGAACACUACUGACGCUGAGGCGCGAAAGCGUGGGGAGCAAACAGGAUUAGAAACCCUAGUAGUCC